Molecule: ribosomal RNA, 448 nt
Filed under: uncultured bacterium
Lineage: Bacteria
Description: bacterial SSU rRNA
Rfam family: Bacterial small subunit ribosomal RNA
Source: RNAcentral
UCCAGACUCCUACGGGAGGCAGCAGUGGGGAAUAUUGGGCAAUGGGCGCAAGCCUGACCCAGCAACGCCGCGUGAAGGAAGAAGGCUUUCGGGUUGUAAACUUCUUUUCUCAGGGACGAAGCAAGUGACGGUACCUGAGGAAUAAGCCACGGCUAACUACGUGCCAGCAGCCGCGGUAAUACGUAGGUGGCAAGCGUUAUCCGGAUUUACUGGGUGUAAAGGGCGUGUAGGCGGGAAAGCAAGUCAGAUGUGAAAACCAUGGGCUCAGCCUGUGGCCUGCAUUUGAAACUGUUUUUCUUGAGUACUGGAGAGGCAGACGGAAUUCCUAGUGUAGCGGUGAAAUGCGUAGAUAUAAGGAAGAACACCAGUGGCGAAGGCGGAUUACUGGACGAUAACUGACGGUGAGGCGCGAAAGCGUGGGGAGCAAACAGGAUUAGAUACCCCCGUA